ACCAGGGAAGUAAAGCACGAGCACACGUAUUAGGACCUGAAAGAUGGUGAACUAUGUCUUGGAACGGUGAAGCCAAAGGAAACUUGGUGGAGGUCUGUAAAGGUCCUGAUGUGAAAAUUGGUUAUCUGACCUGUAUAUAGGGGCAAAAGACUAAUUGAACCAUUUAGUAACUGGUUUCCUCCAAAGUUUCCCUCAGCGUAGCUGGCAUGCUCACACACAAACCUACAAGUUUUAUCUAGUAAAGUGAAUGACUAGGGUCUUCAACCACAACUAUUUCAACCUAUUCUCAAACUUCAAAUGGCUAAGAAGCCUGCCUUGAUAGCAUGGAGCCAGGAGUGGAAUGCAAGUGACUAGUGGGCUACUUUUGGUAAGCAGAAGUAGUGCUACAAGAUGAAUCAAAUGCUUGGUUAAGGUAUCCAAUGCAAACCUCAUUAGACCCAAGAAAAGAUAUUGGUUGAUACAAACAGGAUAAUGUCAAUGGAAGUUGGAACCCACUAAGAAGUAUGUAAACACCCACUUGCUGAAUGACCUAGCCCUGAAAAUGUUGGGAGUGAUGGGCCCAUACACAGCCACAGCUGGCAUUUGGUGAUGCAUGCAAGAAGGAUGGAAGCAAGUGGGGGGCAGGGAACAUGGGUUCCCCCCAGGGCCACCACAGCCACUAUGCCACAAUGAGUAGGAAGGCCACUGUGGUGAGACUUGAAGCCUUGGGCAUGGGCCCAGGUGGAGCUGCCACUGGUGCAGAUCUUGGUGAUAGUAGCAAAUAUUCAAAUGAGAACUUUGAGGGCUGGGGGCACCUGCAUGACUCAUUGGUUGAGCUCCCAGCUCUUGAUCUCAGCUCAGGUCAUGAUUUCAUGGUUCGUGGGAUCAAGCCCCAUGUUGGGCUCUGAGCUGACAGUAUGGAGCCUGCUUGUAAUUCUCUCUCUCUCUGCCCCUCCCCUGCUCUCAUGUAUGCACAUGCAAGCAUGCUCUCUCCCUCUCUUUCAAAAUAAAUAAAUUUUUUUUUCAAAAAUUUUUUUUCAACGUUUAUUUAUUUUUGGGACACAGAGAGACAGAGCAUGAACGGGGGAGGGGCAGAGAGAGAGGGAGACACAGAAUCGGAAACAGGCUCCAGGCUCUGAGCCAUCAGCCCAGAGCCUGACGCGGGGCUCGAACUCACGGACCACGAGAUCGUGACCUGGCUGAAGUCGGACGCUUAACCUACUGCGCCACCCAGGCGCCCCUCAAAAUAAAUAAAUUUUUUUAAAACUUAAAAAAAAAAACUUUGAAGGCUGAAGUGGAGAAAGGUUCCAUGUCAACAAAAAUUGAACAUGGGUCAGUUGGUCCUGAGAGAUGGGCAAGCGCCAUUGUGAAAGAACAGGCAAUUGCCUCCAUUGUCUUCGGCCAAUCAAAAGGGAGUCGAUUCAUAUUUUUUAAAAAUUCACCUAGAGGAGGAUGGGGACACAGUAGGAGGACCUUAGGCUUGUCUCAUCCCAGGAAUACAACUAGGUAACUAUCAAAUUAUUCUAAAUACCCAAGAAACCAAUCUGAAGGU
This 1531-nucleotide non-coding RNA is filed under the name Felis catus (domestic cat). Its description in RNAcentral is "Eukaryotic large subunit ribosomal RNA". It matches the Rfam family "Eukaryotic large subunit ribosomal RNA", at positions 780 to 1730 of the family's 3401-position model. The record is from Rfam by way of RNAcentral. Lineage: Eukaryota; Metazoa; Chordata; Mammalia; Carnivora; Felidae.